CAUGCAGGUCUUUUCUCUUCUAUUUUGCCUGGAAGGUUGGGUGGUCACUGGUUCAGUUAACAGAGUGUCUUUUGGUUCUCUGGAAUAAGGUCCUUCACACGGUCAAUGUAUAAAAUUGUAAAAGUCAAUAUUUGAAAUAAUGUAUAUUCCUAUUUGGUAAUUUGGCUUUUUUGUUGUGUGUUAGAACUCAUCACCAGACCAAAAGUCAUGGAGAGCUUUUGUUGUUUUCUCAAAUUGUAUAGUUUUUUAAAUGGAAUUCUGGUGUUAGUUGCAAAGUUUGUGCUUCUGUUCAUUUCAUUUUUUUUAAUAAACAGUUAUUUAUUUCUAGUUGAUUGAUCACUGCUUUACAAUAUCGGUUUGAUUUGUCAUACAUCCACGCGAACGAACCAUAGACGUACUUGUGUCCCCUCGCUCUGGAAACUCCCUCCCACAUCCCAUCCAUCCCCACCUCUCUAGGUUAUUACAGAGCCCCAGUUUGAGUUCCCUGAGUCCUAACAGCAAAUCCCACUGGUUGUCUACUUACAAAUGUUGGUGUACAUGCAUCCAUGUUGCUCUCUCCAUUCCCCACCCUGGUCCGUAAGUCUGUCCUCUAUGUCUGCAUCUCCGGUGCUGCUAUGUGAACAGAUUCGUCAGACCCAUCCUUCUCGAUUCCAUGUUUUCCUCUUUCUGACUGACUUGCCUGUUUAAUACGCUCUCGGUUCAUCCCCUUCCUUAGAGCGGACUCAAAUAUGUUCCUUUUUAUGGCUGCAUUCCAUCCAGGCUCUGACUGUUCCUUAGCCGUGUUUUGAGGAGGGUCAUGGAGCCAUUGUGCUCCAUUUCAGUUUGGGCUUCCAGUCUGAGUGCUCACAGCAGAGCUGCUUGUGGGUGAGCCCUCUGAGGUCUGUGAGCAUGGGGCUGCCCGCUCUUCCCUGGUGGGAGCUCUGUCUCCUCAGGACCCUCAGGACUCGGGCUCUGGGGUUAUGGGGCUGCAUCCCAGCUGAGAGGAGAGGGGUUGCCUCAGUGCCCGCCAGCAGGGAGACGCUGCAAGAGGGGAAAAUGAGGACGAAGUAGAUGUUUCCUGUGUCCAGCUGAGCGCUGACCGGAGGUCCAUCUCAGAGCACUCGGGGGGUGGGGGUGGGGGUGGGGAGAGCUCCAUGUACAAAUGGCAGGUUUUCAGUUCGAUUUCUGUUCGAUGGCCUAGAGGAUGACCUUCGCAGAUGUUCUUCUGAGUAGUUGGCCAGUUUUCCUGUCCCUGUUUCUUCAGAAGAGUGUCCUUUCCUCUUGGCUCAUUCGUUUGAUUUUCAUGAACUGACCAUGUCCAUGUGGGUUCACUCCUGGGCUCUCUCUUCUUUCCUGGAGUCCCUGUGUCUGUGUUCCUGCCAGUUCCUCACUGUGGUGGUUACUACAGGGCCGUGCUGUAGUUUGAAGUCGGAGAGGAAGAUAUCUCCAGCAGUGAUCUUCUUUCUCAGAGUCUUCUUGGCCCUUUAAGACCCAAGGCACAGUGGUUACUAAUAGACUUCCCACAGUACUUCUUCAUUCCAUGUGGACUCCUACAAGGACAGUGGAGCAUCACAGCUUCCCUUGAACUUCGCCUGGGAAUGCUAUGGAGAUGUACGUUGAUUUGGACAAACUUGAUGGACUUAGAGCAGACGGUGAAUAUGGGAUCUGUGUGGCCUUUUCUAUAUGGAUAUUUUUCGCUAAAGAUGGUUUUAAUGUUUAUUCAUGUUAUAAAAUGUGUGAAUCCUGCAUUCUUUUUUUUUCUCCAUAGUAAUUAAAAAUAAAUAACAUGCCAUUUACCAUUUA
Molecule: long non-coding RNA, 1782 nt
Organism: Bubalus bubalis (water buffalo)
Lineage: Eukaryota; Metazoa; Chordata; Mammalia; Artiodactyla; Bovidae
Exons: 3
Source: RefSeq, a predicted model, not a curated record